UUAAUUGAAGCUAAAAUAGAGGCAUAUCACUGUUAAUGAUAAAACUGGAUUCAAGAUCCCAAUUAAA
This 67-nucleotide transfer RNA is filed under the name Scarabaeidae sp. BMNH 1274753. Its description in RNAcentral is "tRNA-Asn". Lineage: Eukaryota; Metazoa; Arthropoda; Insecta; Coleoptera; Scarabaeidae. The record is from RNAcentral.